This 259-nucleotide unclassified non-coding RNA is filed under the name plant metagenome. RNAcentral's name for it is "partial contains small subunit ribosomal RNA, internal transcribed spacer 1, and 5.8S ribosomal RNA". The stretch from base 1 to 54 matches the Rfam family "Eukaryotic small subunit ribosomal RNA", at positions 1778 to 1831 of the family's 1831-position model. The record is from RNAcentral.
GUAAGUAAAAGUCGUAACAAGGUCUCCGUUGGUGAACCAGCGGAGGGAUCAUUACCGAGUUUACAACUCCCAAACCCCAUGUGAACCUUACCAAACGUUGCUUCGGCGGGAUGCCCCGGGCGCGGGCCGCAAGGCCUCAGCCCUGGAACCAGGCGCCCGCCGGAGGCCCAAACCAAACUCUUGUUUUUGUAGAAUCUUCUAAGUGGCCUUUUAGGCAAAAAAUGAAUCAAAACUUUCAACAACGGAUCUCUUGGUUCUG